AAGCAAACAGGUUCAAAAGUUGUCACACUGAGUCUACCUUAAAAACAUUAAAAGCCUUGUAGCGUAUACCUUUGGCAUGUUCAUUUGGCAAGCAAGAUGUAAUGCGGAACACUGACUUGUCCGAGUUUUUGCAUCUAUAUCAGCACCUUUACGAAUCAAGAUGGUUGACAUAUCUUCGUAACCAUGGAGAGCAGCAACAUGGAGUGGAGAAAAACCAUCGCUAUUGGUUGAAUUGAUGUGGAGACCAUCUGAUGUCACAGAAGAGUUCCUCUGUGCUACAAAGUCUCUGAGCAUCUUCAAUAACAUACUGCAACCUUACUAAAAUCUUCAGUGGGUGUUAAUAAUUCUCAAUUUUGAAGAGCAGAUUAUCUCGGAGUGACAAGUCCAGUUGUUUUAAUAGGAGAUUAUCCAAUAAUUUUAUCACUGAUCAUUCCAAUAUAAACAGUCAGACAUCACAAAAGUACUGAGCUGGAAAUUACAAGAUAGUGCACGAGUGAGUGAAAUAUUAAAAUGUGAAACUGAGAUAAAGAGAUUUAAGUGGAAUUGCCAUGGAAUAAAGGCAGUGAAAUGAUGAAAUCGAAAUUUUCUAAAUCAGCACUAUACAGUACAUAGAAAAACCACAAAAUCAGUGUGUAAAGGAGAGACAAUAAAAGAACAAAGCCAACUGGCAUAAAAUGUUUUAAAAUACAGGAUUUUUCUCUCAGCUGUUUGAGGUUUUGAAAUCAAGUAACUGAAUAUGAUGGUAACAAAAAUACUAAUUCCUUUACUCCUCAUAACCACACUACAUAUCUCGGGUAGGCCAAAUAGACAUAGAAAGAAUUUGAGACACCAACAUGGAAAGAAAACGAGACACCAACAUCUGAAAAAUCCAAGAACCAAACAGGAACAUGUAUUAAAGCCAUUAAAGCCAAGGAUUAGACUUCGCAUAACCAGGGACUUUCUUCCCAUUGAUGAUAAGACCAAUACUAAUAAAGAACAAAGGGAUUCGGGACUUAUAUCUCCAUGGCGUCCACUUGUAGGACCAAAAAAACUGGUCCAAAAAUGUGACAAUGCUGAGAAGAUUUUUAGCAGUGAUGAAAAGGGUAUUUCAUUAAGGGAGGCUCAACGUAAGGCUUCUGCUUCUGGAACUGAGGAUUGGGUUAAAUCAAGAAAACACAAUGUUUUGGACCGGAUGGAUCCUUUGUACAGUAUGAGUCCUAGUGUUGGCGGGAACAGGGGGCCAGCUGGACAGGUGAAAAAUAGUGAUUAUGAUGACAAUAUCUACAGUUUCUUCACAUGUAAUGUAUGUGAAACGAAGAAAUUCUUCAUCACAGAGGAGUUCUUGACAGAUACUAAAACCAACCGUCAACUUCAUCUGGUUCAGUUAGGACAUCUCAACCCUCCAAAAUACCAGAAUAUACAGAUUGGGCUGUG
Molecule: unclassified non-coding RNA, 1413 nt
Filed under: Owenia fusiformis
Lineage: Eukaryota; Metazoa; Annelida; Polychaeta; Sabellida; Oweniidae
Description: misc RNA OFUS_LOCUS6563
Source: RNAcentral